CACCGGUGCUGUUGAGAUAGACUGAGCAAAAGCUGCGGCGUGGGACUUUCACAGACACAACACCAACCAUAACACGGAUGCAGAUUACUUAAAUGCUCUGCUCUGGUCACCCCUUCUCUAGAUAAUUUCAGCUGGGACUCGUUAAUGGAGAAGCUCUCACUGGCCAAAUCUGAUCACUUCUUCCAGCCGUCAGCCUGCGUGGCUGUUAGGAGUUGGUAUCUGUAAGUCAUCGAGCCACCUGCCUGCAGAUAAGCUGGCCUCUGGUGGCUGGGUGUGUGUGUGUGUGUAACUGGGUGAUGGGAGGAGAUGGAGGAGGGAAGGAGCGUCAAGGACGUGCCUGUUGCUGUCUGAAGGAGUUGGUACAAAGCAGAUCUGUACAGACCAUCGCUCCAUCGCUCCAGUACAGAAGUGUCUUGUCACAGUAGUGAAGGACUGUCACAUCUUGCACACCAUGUUAUUUUCAUUGCCAGCAUAGCGAGUAGAAAAGCGUCACAACCGAGUUUCCUCUUGGCAGGAUUUAUAUUGCCUAAUUUUAAAUAUCUACAGCGUAGAUGUCAAAGUAAGAGCUCAUUAUCCAAAGUCGCCG
RNAcentral lists this long non-coding RNA (586 nucleotides) under Anser brachyrhynchus (Pink-footed goose). RNAcentral's name for it is "lncRNA (ENSABRG00000011005.1)". Lineage: Eukaryota; Metazoa; Chordata; Aves; Anseriformes; Anatidae. The record is from RNAcentral.